RNAcentral lists this unclassified non-coding RNA (503 nucleotides) under Anelosimus elegans. Its description in RNAcentral is "partial contains 16S ribosomal RNA and tRNA-Leu (trnL)". The stretch from base 105 to 406 matches the Rfam family "Bacterial large subunit ribosomal RNA", at positions 2074 to 2646 of the family's 2925-position model. Lineage: Eukaryota; Metazoa; Arthropoda; Arachnida; Araneae; Theridiidae. The record is from RNAcentral.
UUUGUUUUUUAAUUAAAAACUAGAAUGAAAGGUUAUACAUUCAAAUUUCUUUAUUAAUUUAUAAUAAAUAAUUUAUAUUAAAUAUAAAAAUGUAUUUAUAUAAAAAAAAGACGACAAGACCCUAUUAAAUUUUACUUAUAGUUUAGCUGGGGAAGCUUUUUAAUUAAAAUUUUUUAAAUUUAAUAAAUAAAAAUCUAAUAAAAAUUAAAAAUUUUAACAAAUUACUAUAGGGAUAACAGCAUUAUAUUUUUUAAAAGUUCAUAUUAAAAAAAAUGAUUGUGACCUCGAUGUUGAAUUAUAUUUUCUAUAUUUAAUGCAAUAAUUAUAAAAGUAGAUCUGUUCGAUCUUUAAAAUAUUACAUGAUUUGAGUUCAAACCGGUGUAAACCAGGUUGGUUUCUAUCUUUUUAUAUAUUUUUCUAGUACGAAAGGACAAAAAAAUUUUUAUUUUAAUAAAAUAGCAAAUAAAUGCAUUAGAUUUAGAAUCUAAAUAUAUUUAAUAAUU